This 30-nucleotide non-coding RNA is filed under the name Rattus norvegicus (Norway rat). Lineage: Eukaryota; Metazoa; Chordata; Mammalia; Rodentia; Muridae. The record is from RNAcentral.
UAGAUUCUUUUCUUCAUGAUGAUUUUUUAA